UGCCUCCCGAAAGCCACCCCAAGAGCUAACUGGGGGAUGCUCCUGAUGGCUUGUGUAGAACUCCCAGCUGCCAGACUGCAUUUAGCCCAGUGUUUAUUUAUUUUCCUGGCUCUUACAGAAGGGCUCUUCAGUCGAGUCCGCAGGAGCCUGGCAGCAAACCAGAAAGGUGGAAGACAAAGGGAGAAAUGGAGUGCAGGAAGGGAAACCCCUCAGCCUCCACAGAGACUAACGCUGCCUGCUGUUGCAUACAGAUUGCCGCCGAGAAAAAAUGCGCAAAGACCAGGAAGGGAAAGGAGCAGAAGGGGAAGACAGUGAGGAAGGAGAAGGAGGAGAAGGGGAAGACGGUGAGGAAGGAGAAGGAGGAGAAGGGGAAGAAGGUGAAGGAGAAGGAGGACAAGAUGAGAAAAGAGGAGAAGGUGAAGCAGGAGAAGGUGAAGGAGGAGAAAGGGAAGAAGGUGAAGGAGGACAAGAUGAGGAAAGAGGAGAAGGUGAAGCAGGAGAAGAAGGUGAAGUUUGUGCAGCAAGAGAAGGUGAAGGUCGUGAAACAGGAGAUGAAGGUGAAGAACGUGAAGCAGGAGAAGGUGAGGAAGGUGAAGCAGGAGGAGAAGAGUAGAUUUUCAAAACAUGCCCAGAAGUUCUUGGCUGAAGAGGAAAAAAAGAACAAAAUGCUGAAGAAACAGAAAAAGAAGCAAGCCAAGCAGCAAGAGUUGGAAGCAGAGAAGACGGAAGCCCAGCCAGAAGAAGUGGAGAUGCCAGUGGCUCAGGAAUCCUCUGCCUUUGAGGAAGAAUAUUCCAGCUCUCUGUCUGAGAGCGAGACAGAGCAGUCCAGCUCCGGCUCCAGCUCCAGCCACAGCCUGAUCAAGAGGAUGAUGGGGGAGCAGGAAGAGGCCGAGGAGGAGCCACCCAGAGUCUCCUGGGACAGCGCUCAUUUCCCAAAACGGAGGCUUACUCCAGUGACAGAAGAGACCCUGCGGGAGGUGGUGAAGUGCAUUGUGGAGCAAGUGGCCCGUGAGCAGCAGGGACAGAGAGAUGCAGAGAAGGAUCUGCAGGGCCGGCUCCAGAGCGAGCUCGCAGUGCUGCGGUGGAGUCAGUGGAGUCGGUCAGCAAGAGAAACACCCAGCAUCUUUUCUCUGUCAGGACCUCAGUAUAGACCUGCACCCCCUCCUGGGCCAAGGCCGGGCAAGGCAGCACGGGUAGGUGGUGUGGGCUCCUGUAAGCACCAUGUCAUAGCUAGCCAUAGCAAGCCACGGGAAGACCCUCUUGGGCCUGUGGGAUGGAGAGCAGCUGGCCGCGGAACUGGAGACCUCUGCACAGACAACCCUGCCAGCCAGCUAUGUGCUCAGGCCAAAGUCUAAGCCCUCGCCUGACUCAGUGCCUGGUCAAUCAGCCCCACAGCAGGCUACCCCAGAUUGGGACUGGCCACAAGGGCUGCAAUUACAUUACAGGGACCAUGAGCCUGCUCUCUCUAGCCACACACGAGCAGAGCCACUCUCUUAUACUG
This 1501-nucleotide long non-coding RNA is filed under the name Gallus gallus (chicken). RNAcentral describes it as "lncRNA (ENSGALG00010008554.1)". Lineage: Eukaryota; Metazoa; Chordata; Aves; Galliformes; Phasianidae. The record is from RNAcentral.